Molecule: ribosomal RNA, 348 nt
Filed under: uncultured bacterium
Lineage: Bacteria
Description: bacterial SSU rRNA
Rfam family: Bacterial small subunit ribosomal RNA
Source: RNAcentral
GGGCCCGCACAAGCGGUGGAGCAUGUGGUUUAAUUCGAUGAUACGCGAGGAACCUUACCAGGGCUUAAAUGUAGUAUGACCGGCUUGGAAACAGGCCUUCUCUUCGGAGCAGAUUACAAGGUGCUGCAUGGUUGUCGUCAGCUCGUGCCGUGAGGUGUCAGGUUAAGUCCUAUAACGAGCGCAACCCCUGUCGUUAGUUACCAGCGGUUCGGCCGGGGACUCUAAGAAGACUGCCAGCGCAAGCUGAGAGGAAGGUGGGGAUGACGUCAAAUCAUCACGGCCCUUACGUCCUGGCUACACACGUGCUACAAUGGUACAGACAGAGGGCAGCCACCUGGCGACAGGGAG